AUGGCGGGUGUUGGAAGGGGGAUGGGGCGGGGCAGUGGCGAUGGCGAUGGCGAGUUGCGAACAGUGGGGGUCGUCGCCGGCGUCCAUAUCCCAUUCCUAGAUCAAGAGGCUAUUCUCGCGUGUCAUGGGAGAGGUCAUGGCAGCGGCAGUGCAACUAUCCCCGUCGGCCGUUCAUCGGGAGGACAAGCAACGGGAUUUCUGGAUGACAUCAACCGAAGCGGAUUUGCCACCGGGGUGGCUCGUCAGGGUGGCAUAAGCAGAGGCCCGGAGGUUCCACUGCCGAUUAAAGAACCAACUAAAGGUAAUGCAAAUGAUGUAACAAACAUAUGGUGUCAUGGGAAAUCAUUGGAAGGACAAGCAUGGGAGUGUGGAUAUUGUGCUUUACAUAGACAUGGUGGGGGUGCAACCCGAUUCAAGCAGCAUAUAGCUGGAUUGGGCCCUCAUGUCUUCUCUUGCAUGAAUGCACCUCAUCAUGUAGUUGCCAUUUUUCGGAAAGCCAUUCCAGAGGGAGAGGCCCGAAGGAGGACUUCCAAAGAAGGAAAGAAAAGAGUGGUAGAUGAGGUCAAUCAUAUAAACAGUCAAGGUGCAUCAAUACAUAUUGAUUGUGAAGAUGAAGAUGAUGAGAUACUCCAGCAGACCCUACGAAAUUCAUUACGUGGAGAUCAUGGGAGAACCAGCGUUGUUAAAGGAAGUGUAGGGAGCAGCUCAAGUGGUGUCAAAGACUUUUUUGACGUUGAUUUGGCAUAUAGCAAGACUAGGCCACAACAGACAAUGGAGGCGUGUAUUAACAAGGUGGAAUACGAAUCUAGGAUUGGGAAGGCUUGGGCAAAAUGGUUUCAUGCUAAUGACAUCCCUGGGCACAAAGCCAAUUGUCCAUACUUUGUAGGAGCAAUAAAAUUGACUCAAGACCUUGGCAAAGGGGUGCCUGCCCCUAAAGGGAUAGAUAUUGAUGGAAUAUAUUUAAAUACCAACUAUGAAGAGUUGCAGCAGUAUGUGGCCAAUUUCAAAGAUGAUUGGCCCACAUAUGGUGUCACUAUCAUGUCAGAUUCGUGGACUGGCCCUUCACGGAUGAGCAUUAUAAACUUUAUGGUGUUCUCCAAUGGGCGUAUGUAUUUCCACAAAUCUGUUAAUGCCACCGGACACAUGCAAAAUUCAAAGUUUGUGUAUGAGCACAUCAAAGAAGCGAUUGAAGAGAUAGGGCAGCAACAUGUUGUCCAACUCGUGACCGACAAUGGCUCUAACUUCAAGAAAGCAUGUCUUGACCUUGUUGCAGAUUUCCCACACAUCACAUGGCAGCCAUGUGCAGCUCACACCAUUAACCUCAUGCUGAAGGAGAUGGGAUGCUUUCCUGAGAUUAAUGAAGUGGUUAGUAGUUGUAAGAGAAUUUGUAGAUUCAUGUACAAUCAUUCAACUUUGCAUGCUGAAAUGCAGAAGCACAUAGGUGGAGAGUUGGUGCGACCGAAUGCCACAAGGUUUGAAACUAACUUUAUGUUCCUAGAAAGCUUUUGGGAUAAGCAAGAGAAAUUCCAAGUGUGGAUGACAUCUCCAGAGUGGAAAAAUAGCUCAUGGAGUUCCGAGGUUGAUUAUGACUACACAUAUGAUUGUUUGAUAAGUAGGACCUGGUGGAAUGGUGUGAAGUGGGUGCUGGAUUUAAUUGGCCCAAUAUAUAGCAUACUUCGAUAUGCUGAUUCACAAAAGCUUGGGUCACUUUCUGGCUUUAUGACAAAGAUGAUGCAUGCUAGGCAUCAAUUGAGUUCAUUGUUUUCUCAUGAUUCUCUAGACCAACACGAGUACCUAAAUGUGGUUGACAAAAGGGUUGAGCAUUUAUACAAAAACACAUUGAUGGUUGCAGCCGGUGUUCUGGACCCGGCAAGUCACUACAAGUAUAACUUUGGAAAAAGUCUAUCACACAUGAGGGCACUCAAUGCAGCACUUAAGAAGUUGGCUAGUCCUUCAGAGUUCAUUGCUAUGAUUCCUGAAGUUCACUCUUAUGUCAAUACAAGAGGGGCUUUUGAAGGCAUGUACCCUCGUAGUGCAGCUGAAAAGGUGUCCCCAACUGAGUGGUGGAUAACAUUUGGAGAUACUACACCGGUGCUUCAAAAGUAUGCUAUCCGGAUUGUUUCUCAAUGCACCUCUUCAAGCGGUUGUGAGCGGAAUUGGAGCACAUACGCUUUAGUGCAUACACUAGUGAGGAACCGUCUUGGUUUUGAAAAGUUGCACAAGAUGGUUUUUUGCCACUACAACCUUGGGCUGCGAAUCCGACUAAUUCUUGGUGAGACAAAAGAGAAAGAGGUUGAUACUUGUGCGUUGUUGAUGAAUACCUCUCUCUAUGAUUGUAACAACGAAAUCAUGGAUUGGCUGGGCAACUCAACAAGUGAUUCCAUGCAAGAUGAGGAUGCGUAUGAUGGUGAUGGUGAUUGUCCAGUGGUCGUAGAGGUGGGACAAAAGAGAACUAGAGGAAGUGGGAUGCCUCCAAGUGAGGAGGAAGAGGAGGAAGAGGAGGAAGAGGAGGCAGAGGAUGUAGAUGAUGGGGAGGAUGAUGAAGGUAACAAUGACGUGCUGCCUAACGAAAAUAGUGAACCUCUGCGGAAGUCUACAAGCAAAAAGGAGGAAGAGGAAGGUAAUGCAAAUGAUGUAACAAACAUAUGGUGUCAUGGGAAAUCAUUGGAAGGACAAGCAUGGGAGUGUGGAUAUUGUGCUUUACAUAGACAUGGUGGGGGUGCAACCCGAUUCAAGCAGCAUAUAGCUGGAUUGGGCCCUCAUGUCUUCUCUUGCAUGAAUGCACCUCAUCAUGUAGUUGCCAUUUUUCGGAAAGCCAUUCCAGAGGGAGAGGCCCGAAGGAGGACUUCCAAAGAAGGAAAGAAAAGAGUGGUAGAUGAGGUCAAUCAUAUAAACAGUCAAGGUGCAUCAAUACAUAUUGAUUGUGAAGAUGAAGAUGAUGAGAUACUCCAGCAGACCCUACGAAAUUCAUUACGUGGAGAUCAUGGGAGAACCAGCAUUGUUAAAGGAAGUGUAGGGAGCAGCUCAAGUGGUGUCAAAGACUUUUUUGACGUUGAUUUGGCAUAUAGCAAGACUAGGCCACAACAGACAAUGGAUGCGUGUAUUAACAAGGUGGAAUACAAAUCUAGGAUUGGGAAGGCUUGGGCAAAAUGGUUUCAUGCUAAUGACAUCCCUGGGCACAAAGCCAAUUGUCCAUACUUUGUAGGAGCAAUAAAAUUGACUCAAGACCUUGGCAAAGGGGUGCCUGCCCCUAAAGGGAUAGAUGUUGAUGGAAUAUAUUUAAAUACCAACUAUGAAGAGUUGCAGCAGUAUGUGGCCAAUUUCAAAGAUGAUUGGCCCACAUAUGGUGUCACUAUCAUGUCAGAUUCGUGGACUGGCCCUUCACGGAUGAGCAUUAUAAACUUUAUGGUGUUCUCCAAUGGGCGUAUGUAUUUCCACAAAUCUGUUAAUGCCACCGGACACAUGCAAAAUUCAAAGUUUGUGUAUGAGCACAUCAAAGAAGUGAUUGAAGAGAUAGGGCAGCAACAUGUUGUCCAACUCGUGACCGACAAUGGCUCUAACUUCAAGAAAGCAUGUCUUGACCUUGUUGCAGAUUUCCCACACAUCACAUGGCAGCCAUGUGCAGCUCACACCAUUAACCUCAUGCUGAAGGAGAUGGGAUGCUUUCCUGAGAUUAAUGAAGUGGUUAGUAGUUGUAAGAGAAUUUGUAGAUUCAUGUACAAUCAUUCAACUUUGCAUGCUGAAAUGCAGAAGCACAUAGGUGGAGAGUUGGUGCGACCGAAUGCCACAAGGUUUGGAACUAACUUUAUGUUCCUAGAAAGCUUUUGGGAUAAGCAAGAGAAAUUCCAAGUGUGGAUGACAUCUCCAGAGUGGAAAAAUAGCUCAUGGAGUUCCGAGGUUGAUUAUGACUACACAUAUGAUUGUUUGAUAAGUAGGACCUGGUGGAAUGGUGUGAAGCGGUUGCACAAGAUGGUUUUUUGCCACUACAACCUUGGGCUGCGAAUCCGACUAAUUCUUGGUGAGACAAAAGAGAAAGAGGUUGAUACUUGUGCGUUGUUGAUGAAUACCUCUCUCUAUGAUUGUAACAACGAAAUCAUGGAUUGGCUGGGCAACUCAACAAGUGAUUCCAUGCAAGAUGAGGAUGCGUAUGAUGGUGAUGGUGAUUGUCCAGUGGUCGUAGAGGUGGGACAAAAGAGAACUAGAGGAAGUGGGAUGCCUCCAAGUGAGGAGGAAGAGGAGGAAGAGGAGGAAGAGGAGGCAGAGGAUGUAGAUGAUGGGGAGGAUGAUGAAGCUUGA
Molecule: ribosomal RNA, 4296 nt
Filed under: Triticum aestivum (bread wheat)
Lineage: Eukaryota; Viridiplantae; Streptophyta; Magnoliopsida; Poales; Poaceae
Description: partial small subunit ribosomal RNA
Source: RNAcentral